GAUGAACGCUGGCGGCGUGCUUAACACAUGCAAGUCGAACGGAAAGGCUCCUGCUUGCAGGGGUACUCGAGUGGCGAACGGGUGAGUAACACGUGGGUGAUCUGCCCUGCACUUCGGGAUAAGCCUGGGAAACUGGGUCUAAUACCGGAUAGGACCACAUUUUGGAUGGUGUGGUGGAAAGUUUUUCGGUGUGGGAUGAGCUCGCGGCCUAUCAGCUUGUUGGUGGGGUAAUGGCCUACCAAGGCGUCGACGGGUAGCCGGCCUGAGAGGGUGUACGGCCACAUUGGGACUGAGAUACGGCCCAGACUCCUACGGGAGGCAGCAGUGGGGAAUAUUGCACAAUGAGCGCAAGCCUGAUGCAGCGACGCCGCGUGGGGGAUGACGGCCUUCGGGUUGUAAACUCCUUUCGCUAGGGACGAAGCGUUUUUGUGACGGUACCUGGAGAAGAAGCACCGGCUAACUACGUG
This 467-nucleotide ribosomal RNA is filed under the name uncultured bacterium. Its description in RNAcentral is "partial 16S ribosomal RNA". It matches the Rfam family "Bacterial small subunit ribosomal RNA", at positions 28 to 507 of the family's 1533-position model. The record is from RNAcentral.